This is a non-coding RNA of Vicugna pacos (alpaca), 373 nucleotides long. The record is from RefSeq and is a predicted model, not a curated record. NCBI's taxonomy places the organism in Eukaryota, Metazoa, Chordata, Mammalia, Artiodactyla, Camelidae.
CUGCCCCUGCCCGCCACCCCACACUGCCCUGCCAGCACCCCAGCACCCCAGCACCCCAGCGCAGGGGCACAGCUGGACCAUACCGGAUGACGUUGUUGCAGUGGCCACAGAGUGGGGUCCGGCUGCUGGCUGGGAAGCGUUCGGCCCUCUGGACGCCAUUCUCUUCCCUCCUCUGGAAGGCCUUCCAGACUCCAUGAUCCACCUCUCUCUUCUAAACUCCUACAACACGACGUUUUCCAGCAGCCCGGCUGGCCGCGCCACCUUCGACGUGCCAGGAUUGAGACUUGACAUCCCCUCUCGGAGCCCGCGGCUGUUGCUAUUUCUGCCUGACGGAAUGAAGCCCGUCCAAAUUAGAAGGUCGGGCCCGGCUCCC